RNAcentral lists this transfer RNA (64 nucleotides) under Bothrops diporus. RNAcentral describes it as "tRNA-Ala". Lineage: Eukaryota; Metazoa; Chordata; Lepidosauria; Squamata; Viperidae. RNAcentral also lists the same sequence under 1 other name. The record is from RNAcentral.
AGAGCUUUAGUUUAGUUAAAAUAUCUGUGUUGCAGUCAGGAGAUGUGGGAUGCCGCAAGUUCUA